GUUGUAUGGUUAAGUGACUAAGCGUACACGGUGGAUGCCUUGGCAGUUGGAGGCGAUGAAGGACGUACUAACUUGCGAUAAGCCUAGUUGAGCCAGUAAGAGGCGCUUGAGACUAGGAUUUCCGAAUGGGGAAACCCACCUGUUUACAGGUAUCAUAUGGUGAAUACAUAGCCAUAUGAGGCGAACGCGGAGAACUGAAACAUCUAAGUACCCGUAGGAAAAGAAAUCAACCGAGAUUCCGAUAGUAGCGGCGAGCGAAAUCGGACCAGCCCUUAAGCUUUAGUGUAGUUAGUGGAACAUUCUGGAAAGUUUGACGACACAGGGUGAUAGUCCCGUACACAAAAACUUAUCUAAAGUGAAAUCGAGUAGGUCGGAGCACGUGAAACUUUGACUGAAUAUGGGGGGACCAUCCUCCAAGGCUAAAUACUCCCAACUGACCGAUAGUGAACCAGUACCGUGAGGGAAAGGCGAAAAGAACCCCUGUGAGGGGAGUGAAAUAGAACCUGAAACCGUGUACGUACAAGCAGUAGGAGCAGGCUCGUCCUGUGACUGCGUACCUUUUGUAUAAUGGGUCAGCGACUUAUAUUUUGUAGCGAGGUUAACCGAUUAGGGUAGCCGUAGCGAAAGCGAGUCUUAACUGGGCGCUUAGUUGCAAGGUAUAGACCCGAAACCCGGUGAUCUAGCCAUGGGCAGGUUGAAGGUUGAGUAACAUCAACUGGAGGACCGAACCCACUAACGUUGAAAAGUUAGGGGAUGACCUGUGGCUAGGAGUGAAAGGCUAAUCAAACCGGGAGAUAGCUGGUUCUCCCCGAAAUCUAUUUAGGUAGAGCCUCGGACGAAUACUUACGGGGGUAGAGCACUGUUAAGGCUAGGGGGUCAUCCCGACUUACCAACCCUUUGCAAACUCCGAAUACCGUAAAGUACUAUCCGGGAGACACACGGCGGGUGCUAACGUCCGUCGUGAAGAGGGAAACAACCCAGACCGCCAGCUAAGGUCCCAAAGUGUAUGUUAAGUGGGAAACGAUGUGGGAAGGCUAAAACAGCUAGGAGGUUGGCUUAGAAGCAGCCACCCUUUAAAGAAAGCGUAAUAGCUCACUAGUCGAGUCGGCCUGCGCGGAAGAUGUAACGGGGCUAAACAUACCACCGAAGCUGCGGCUGCGAAUAUACCACCCAAACUAUUUUAAGAUUAACGUUGACGCACGAAGUGCCCAACGGUCAAGCGUUCAACGUGUUGAGUUGGACAGAGAUAGUUUCGGGGUAUAUUCGCGGGGUAGGGGAGCGUUCUGUAAGCGGUUGAAGGUGUACCGGGAGGUAUGCUGGACGUAUCAGAAGUGCGAAUGCUGACAUGAGUAACGAUAAGAGGAGUGAAAAACUCCUCCGCCGGAAGACCAAGGGUUCCUAUCCCAUGUUAAUCAGGGUAGGGUAAGUCGACCCCUAAGGCGAGGCUGAAGAGCGUAGUCGAUGGGAAACGGGUUAAUAUUCCCGUACUUGGAAUAAUUGCGAUGGGGGGACGGAGCAGGCUAAGUAAGCAUGGCGUUGGUUGUCCAUGUGAAAGUGUGUAGGCUGAGAACUUAGGAAAAUCCGGGUUCUUAAGGCUGAGACACGAGACGAGCAUCUACGGAUGUGAAGUUACUGAUGCCCUACUUCCAGGAAAAGCCUCUAAGCUUCAGAUUAUUUCGAAUCGUACCCCAAACCGACACAGGUGGUCAGGUAGAGAAUACUAAGGCGCUUGAGAGAACUCGGGUGAAGGAACUAGGCAAAAUUGUACCGUAACUUCGGGAGAAGGUACGCUGACAUUAGGUGAAGAGCUUCGCGCUUGGAGCUGAAGUCAGCCGCAGUGACCAGGUGGCUGGGACUGUUUAUUAAAAACACAGCACUGUGCAAAAUCGUAAGAUGACGUAUACGGUGUGACACCUGCCCGGUGCCGGAAGGUUAAUUGAUGGGGUUAGACUUAGGUCGAAGCUCUUGAUCGAAGCCCCGGUAAACGGCGGCCGUAACUAUAACGGUCCUAAGGUAGCGAAAUUCCUUGUCGGGUAAGUUCCGACCUGCACGAAUGGUGUAACCAUGGCCACGCUGUCUCCACCCGAGACUCAGUGAAAUUGAAAUCGCAGUGAAGAUGCUGUGUACCCGCGGCUAGACGGAAAGACCCCGUGAACCUUUACUACAGCUUGGCACUGAACAUUGACCCUACAUGUGUAGGAUAGGUGGGAGGCUUUGAAGCGCAGACGCUAGUUUGUGUGGAGCCGUCCUUGAAAUACCACCCUUGUAGUGUUGAUGUUCUAACUUAGGCCCCUAAUCGGGGUUGAGGACAGUGCCUGGUGGGUAGUUUGACUGGGGCGGUCUCCUCCCAAAGAGUAACGGAGGAGCACGAAGGUUGGCUAAGUACGGUCGGACAUCGUACGGUUAGUGUAAUGGUAGAAGCCAGCUUAACUGCGAGACAGACACGUCGAGCAGGUACGAAAGUAGGUCAUAGUGAUCCGGUGGUUCUGAAUGGAAGGGCCAUCGCUCAACGGAUAAAAGGUACUCCGGGGAUAACAGGCUGAUACCGCCCAAGAGUUCAUAUCGACGGCGGUGUUUGGCACCUCGAUGUCGGCUCAUCACAUCCUGGGGCUGAAGUCGGUCCCAAGGGUAUGGCUGUUCGCCAUUUAAAGUGGUACGCGAGCUGGGUUUAGAACGUCGUGAGACAGUUCGGUCCCUAUCUGCCGUGGGCGUUUGAGAAUUGAGAGGGGCUGCUCCUAGUACGAGAGGACCGGAGUGGACGAACCGCUGGUGUUCGGGUUGUGAUGCCAAUUGCAUUGCCCGGUAGCUACGUUCGGAAUCGAUAACCGCUGAAAGCAUCUAAGCGGGAAGCGAGCCUCGAGAUGAGUUCUCACUUUAACUUUAAGUUAACUGAAGGGCCGUUGAAGACUACAACGUUGAUAGGCUGGGUGUGGAAGUGUAGUGAUACAUUAAGCUAACCAGUACUAAUUACCCGUGAGGCUUAACCAUACAACGCCAAAGUGGUUU
This 3006-nucleotide ribosomal RNA is filed under the name Pseudoalteromonas amylolytica. Its description in RNAcentral is "bacterial LSU rRNA". It matches the Rfam family "Bacterial large subunit ribosomal RNA". The record is from RNAcentral. Lineage: Bacteria; Pseudomonadati; Pseudomonadota; Gammaproteobacteria; Alteromonadales; Pseudoalteromonadaceae. RNAcentral also lists the same sequence under 1 other name.